CAGGAUUCUUCAUUUAAACAUAAGAUUUUAGGGGGGAAAGUAAUGGGUUGAUAUAUUCAGUCAGUGUGUUGUGUUAACUAAAUAUGAGACAGACUCAGGUAACAAUAGGUAGUAAUAUCAGAGCUAGGAAAAAAAGAUUUUUCCUUCUGUAUUGGGAGCCUGGGCAUUCUGAAUUCUUGAAUCAAUAUGUAGGCAAUGAAAAGAUUUAUAUUUGAUAAUCUGGAAAAUUAAUUUGAAAGGCAGGAAUGAGGACCUGUAAAUAAUAGCCCAUAGUAAAAACAGCCUCAUGCCUAGUUCAAAGUUCUACCACAGUUUGGAUUUUGAAGGCUGCAUGACAUAACUUUCAUCAUGGCCGUUUUCUUUUUUCUUUUCUUUUUUUUCAUUUUUGGCCAUGUCCACAGCAUCAAACCCAUGUCACAGCAGUGGCAACACUGAAUCCUUAACCACUAGGCCACCAGAGAACUCCCCUUCUUAUAUUUUUACUUUACUGGAAAUCACUGCAAAUUGACCCAUGAAAGAAAUGCGAGGACUCUAGGCAUCCUUGGACAAUGAACAGAAUCUUCUAUGACUUGUUGAAUUGACAUUUUCUGGUUGGUUAAAUAUUGUCAGAGAUAAAUUUCCUCUUGGGAAAUUUUUUAAGAGAUCGGCUUUAAGUUGCUAGGAUUUUUAACCAUAAAAUCCCUAAAACUCAAAAUGCCUGAGUUAUUCUUGGGCCCAUAGUGCGGGUACGUUCAAAUUGCUCUUUAUUUGGGGUGAUAAUUUAGGAGUUACCAUAGUUUUACUUCCUGAUACCUAGAAAAUGCUGGGUAAGUGUAAUAAAUGGAUCAGGACAUCAAAUAAGUAACUGAGCAUAUGUUGCCAUUUAAAGUUCCUGCCAAUGGAAACAAAGAAUAUAACUCAUUUCUUUCCACUUGGAUUGUGUCUCUAAAAAAAAAAGCUACAGAUUUUCUUUCAGUCACUUAUCCAGAGUUUACUUGGAAUCUGCUGUGUGCUGGGCCUUGUGUUAGUAACCUCACCUACAAAGAUGGGUAAGACAGAGUCCUUGGCUCAGAGGGUUCAAGGCCAAUAAGCACCCAGAACUACUGUACUAAGGGCCAGGUGAGAAGUUUGCAGAAGACGCACCAGAGACGUUAAGAAAAGUGAUACUAUAUAAUUACACACUCAGAACUGCUUAUCAUUCUCCUCUAUAUUAUACAUGUAAUCCAAAAGUGUUUAAAAGAAUAGAGAAAAUUUGUUUCCCCUUAAAUAAUCUCUUCCUCAUUCUCCAAGUCUUCUGAGAAUUAUCAAAUGAACACCUCCCAGAUGAGAGAAACGAGGUAGAGUUUUCUUUUUCUUUUCUUGUCUUUUUGUCUUUUUAGGGCUGUACCUGCGGCAUGUGGAGGUUCCCGGGCUAGGGGUUUAAUCGGACCUGUUGCCGCUGGCCUACGCCACAGCCACAGCAGUGCGGGAUCUGAGCUGCAUCUGCGACCUACACCACAGCUCAGUGCAACACUGUGGAUCCCUAACCCACUGAGUGAGGUCAGGGAUCAAACCUUCGCCACGACGGGAACUCCAGAAUUUUCUUUAGGAUGUGCCCGUACAUGACUCUGUUUUGGAUAAAGAUGACUAGCUGUCUGACCAGGGGAGAGGAAGGCAGGAAGGCAGUCUGUGGGGUUCCCAGAGGGACCUAGGUCUUUCUGAGCUCUCUCCCUUCGCUGCUUCCCUCCACUCCAUGUUCUCCUGUCCCCCCCAGGUCUACCUGCCCCUCCCAUCCCCUAGAUGUAUUGCAUCUUUUUCUGCUCCCCCUUCAUGCUGCCCUGUGGGUUGGUGCUCCGUUCUAUCCUGUGCUGCUCGAUGGGGACCUGCCCAGUUCGACAACUCAACCUGUGCUAAAUUCUGAAUGCUGAAUGAGGCUCAGAGUCUGUCUCAGCCUUCUUCACAAGAGAGCAGAUGCGGGAAAGGACAGCAUCUGUGCAGGCAUCUUGGGGUAAGUGCCUAAGGUGAUCACCUGGGCUCCUGCCAUGUGGCCCCACUGGCCACUGGGAGCCUGCUGGGAUGAUGAUCAGUUGUAUCAGUGACCAUUUGUACCAGGCCUGAAGCCCAGCAUACAGACUGGGACUUCUGGUUUUCAUCCCUCCCUGGAACAUUCUGGCAUUUUAUUAGGAAAUCUCCAAUGCCCAGAGAUACAAGGAGAGGUAUCCUGCUUGGUAGUUCAGAUCUCUACAUUUUGACCAGCUUGAGCUGAAAAAUCUGGCUCUGUUCUAUGAGUGGAGUGACUUUGGGCUGUGUGCUUAACGUUUUUGUCCCUCAGUGCCCUCCUCGGAGGGUUGUAAGUUGGAGUGGAGUCUUUGAGUGAAGGUGCAUUAAACAGUCAGGGCAGGAUUUCCAGGCAGUGUGUGUCCCAUCAAGCCAUCUUGCUGUUGUUUGUGGAUAUUUUAGACAGCAGCAAGGCCGCUGGAUGAGAGACUAAAUAAGUGAGAAAAAUAUUUUACAUAAAUCUCUUAUCUCAAAGCAAAUAACUCAUGUGCUUCCUUGCAUCUAUGCAUAAAUGAAUAUAUAAAUAUGUGUAUAAAUACAUAUAUAUACACACACCUACACCCUUGUUCUUUGGUGUCCGUAGGGGGAUUGGUUCCAAGACCCCCCAAAUCCACAGGCGCUCAAGUCUCAUAUAAAAUGGUAUGGUAUUUUUCAUCCAACCUAGACACAUACUCCUGUAUAGUUUAAAUCAUCUCAGGAUUACUUAUAAUACCUGAUAUAAUGUAAAUUGGGUUAGGGAUUGGGAUGUCACUUCUGUUUUCUCACCUUUGUUCCCCAGUUCACCCUUCCUUGUGUUUUCAACUUGGCUGAGAUGUGAUGUCCUCUUGAGAUCCCUGCUUUUACUCCAUUUAUCUUCUCAGGGAGAGAGGCAGGCAGUAAACAGGUCAACAAAUAAAUGGGAUAAUUGAGAAUCAUGAUGGGAUGGCGAUGACAAAGCAUGCUGCAUGGAAUUCCUAGGAGGUAAUUUGCUGGCAGGGAACUGAAGGACGGGAGGUCUCUGCAGGGUCUUUCUGCUGAGGGAUCCUCAGAUGCAAAUCAGAGGAAGAACUCGGUUCUUCGUUUUUAGGGAUCAGAAAGGAGGCUAGUGCUAUUGGAGCUGGGUGAGCACAGUCAAGGUGGUGGUAGAGGAGGUCAGAAACUCAGGCCAAUCCUUAUAAAAGAUUUCCUGGUCCUCCUUGCCCCUAGAUGCUGGAGACCAUGUACAUUGGAACCUGAUCACUAAAACCUUGCUGGUAGAAUCUCAGAAUCUCAUUUACCCAAAGUUAAAAGUACCCUAACUUCCCCACCCCAUCGUUCAGCCACAGCUUCUUGUCCACUGUGACUUGACAUCCUUCAUCACCUCAUGCAAUUCCUGGCACAAAGUAAGGGCUUGAUAGAUAUUACCAGGAUAUUCACAUGAAUGAGUUGAAUACUGGAUACCCUGGGGAAAACGAGCUGUUGUUUUAAGAAGACAUUGCAGGAGUUCUCUGGUGGCUCAGUGGGUUAAGGAUCGGGGAUAUCACUUCUGUGGCCCAGGUCACGGCUGUGGUGCGGGUUCCAUCCCUGGCUCGGAACUUCUGCAUGCCAGUGGGCACAGCCAAAAACAAAAAGCAAAAAAACACUGCACUUCUUUAUGCACAAAGGUUACCUUCCUUCUCUGAACAGAGCUCUGCUGUCUCCUUGGCCCCACCCACUUGUUCUGUGUUUCUUUGGAGAAUUUUUGAAUUCCAUUUAGCACUGAGUAAAAUGUCUCCCCCCCGCCCCCGCUAAUUAUAAUCAUACUAGCAGUGAACUAAACAGUUGGGGGUGAAAGAAAUUCUGAUGAUGUUAAAAAUGCAAAUAGUUUUCACACCAGAUUAAUUCAUUUAACUAAGAGUCCUGAUCUUUAAACAUUAAACGUUUGAGUGUGAAACGUUUUAUUCACAGGGGAGAAAGUCCACGGUGAAGCUGAUCUGAAGCUCAUUCCUCUAUCAGGAGUGAUGUGAAGAUAAACAGGAUGCAUAUUGUUACCUAGCUAUGAACUAACAAGUUGUGAGUUCUUUACAACAUUUCAGGAUGUGAUUUACAUGAUUCAAGAUUAGCAGGUCUGGGGAACUCUGGGGCUGUUUGAGAUUAGAAGAAGCCAAGUCAUAUAAGGAUCUGAGCGGAUGUUUGUGUUAUCUGCAUGUUUGACUAAUAUUUGAAUUAAAUGUUUUAUAUUUAAUCAAAGCAAAAUUGAAAGUCAUUAUGACUGCUGAUACGCAAUACUAAUUACAGGAAAUAACCAGCCCUUCCAUGUUCAGUGCAAAAUGCUGAUGGUGGAGCAGUCUCUUCUCUGGAGGGGGAAAUCAUAGGUCUCAGAUCUGGAAGAGAAUUUAGUUCGCUGUGUUUCAGCUAUUUUAAACCCAGACUCUCUCUUAAAAAAAAAAAAAAAAAUCCCAGGAGUUCCCAUUGUGCCUCAGUGUUAAUGAACCUGGCUAGUAUCCAUGAGGACGCAGGUUUGAUCCCUGCCUUCACUCAGUGGGUUAAGGAUCCAGUGUUGCUGUGAGCUGUGGUGAAGCUCACAGCUGCGGCUAGGAUCUGGCAUUGCUGUGGCUAUGGUGUAGGCCGGGAGCUAUAGCUCUGAUUAGACCCCUAGCCUGGGAGCUUCCACAUGCUGCGGGUGUGGCCCCAAAAA
Molecule: long non-coding RNA, 4651 nt
Filed under: Sus scrofa (pig)
Lineage: Eukaryota; Metazoa; Chordata; Mammalia; Artiodactyla; Suidae
Description: lncRNA (ENSSSCG00045022059.1)
Source: RNAcentral